UCAGUGGAGCUGCUACACCACCCCUGGUUUGGAGCUACCCGAUUCAUGAAUUGUUGUUUGUGCAAAUAAACUCUUUAAAAUUUUAUUGUGCCUCAGUUUCCCUUUUGACACUCCC
This is a long non-coding RNA of Sapajus apella (tufted capuchin), 115 nucleotides long. RefSeq lists it as uncharacterized. The transcript is spliced from 3 exons. The record is from RefSeq and is a predicted model, not a curated record. NCBI's taxonomy places the organism in Eukaryota, Metazoa, Chordata, Mammalia, Primates, Cebidae.